UACGGAGGGCGCGAGCGUUACCCGGAUUUACUGGGCGUAAAGGGCGUGUAGGCGGUUUGGGGCGUCCCAUGUGAAAGGCCACGGCUCAACCGUGGAGGAGCGUGGGAUACGCUCAAGCUAGAGGGUGGGAGAGGGUGGUGGAAUUCCCGGAGUAGCGGUGAAAUGCGCAGAUACCGGGAGGAACGCCGACGGCGAAGGCAGCCACCUGGCCCAUUUCUGACGCUGAGGCGCGAAAGCGUGGGGAGCAAACCGGAUUAGAUACCCGGGUAGUCCACGCCCUAAACGAUGCACGCUAGGUCUUUGGGGUUUACCUGAGGGCCGAAGCCAACGCGUUAAGCGCGCCGCCUGGGGAGUACGGCCGCAAGGCUGAAACUCAAAGGAAUUGACGGGGGCCCGCUCAAGCGGUGGAGCAUGUGGUUUAAUUCGAAGCAACGCGGAGAACCUUACCAGGCCUUGACAUGCUAGGGGACCCAGGUGAAAGCCUGGGGUGCCCGCGAGGGAGCCCUAGCACAGGUGCUGCAUGGCCGUCGUCAGCUCGUGUCGUGAGAUGUUGGGGUUAAGUCCCGCAACGAGCGCAACCCCUGCCCCUAGUUGCCAGCGGGUUAGGCCGGGCACUCUAGGGGGACUGCCUGCGAAAGCAGGAGGAAGGCGGGGACGACGUCUGGUCAUCAUGGUCCUUACGGCCUGGGGCGACACACGUGCUACAAUGCCCACUACAGAGCGAUGCGACCCAGCGAUGGGGAGCGAAUCGCAAAAAGGUGGGCGUAGUUCGGAUUGGGGUCUGCAACCCGACCCCAUGAAGCCGGAAUUCGCUAGUAAUCGCGGAUCAGCCAUGCCGCGGUGAAUACGUUCCCGGGCC
This 859-nucleotide ribosomal RNA is filed under the name uncultured bacterium. Its description in RNAcentral is "bacterial SSU rRNA". It matches the Rfam family "Bacterial small subunit ribosomal RNA", at positions 524 to 1380 of the family's 1533-position model. The record is from RNAcentral.